CUACGGGUUGCUGCAGUGGGGAAUAUUGGACAAUGGGGGAAACCCUGAUCCAGCAAUGCCGCGUGUGUGAAGAAGGCCUGCGGGUUGUAAAGCACUUUCGGUUGGGAGGACUGCUUCUAGCACUAAUAUUGUUGGAAGUUGACGUUACCUUCAGAAGAAGCACCGGCUAACUCCGUGCCAGCAGCCGAGGUAAUACGGAGGGUGCAAGCGUUAAUCGGACUUACUGGGCGUAAAGCGCGCGUAGGCGGCUAGAUCAGUCGGGUGUGAAAGCCCCGGGCUUAACCUGGGAACUGCAUCCGAUACUGGCUAGCUUGAGUACAGGAGAGGAGAGGGGAAUUCCACAUGUAGCGGUGAAAUGCGUAGAUAUGUGGAGGAACACCAAUGGCGAAGGCAGCUCUCUGGCCUGAUACUGACGCUGAGGUGCGAAAGCGUGGGGAGCAAACAGGAUUAGAUACCCUCGUAGUC
RNAcentral lists this ribosomal RNA (465 nucleotides) under uncultured bacterium. RNAcentral's name for it is "partial 16S ribosomal RNA". It matches the Rfam family "Bacterial small subunit ribosomal RNA", at positions 339 to 795 of the family's 1533-position model. The record is from RNAcentral.